GGAGGAUCCGAGCGUUAUCCGGAUUUAUUGGGUUUAAAGGGUGCGUAGGUGGUUUGAUAAGUCAGCGGUGAAAGUUUGCAGCUUAACUGUAAAAAUGCCGUUGAAACUGUCGGACUUGAGUGUAAAUGAGGUAAGCGGAAUGCGUGGUGUAGCGGUGAAAUGCAUAGAUAUCACGCAGAACUCCGAUUGCGAAGGCAGCUUACUAAGCUACAACUGACACUGAAGCACGAAAGCGUGGGGAUCAAACAGGAUUAGAUACCCUGGUAGUCCACGCAGUAAACGAUGAUUACUAGCUGUUUGCGAUACACAGUAAGCGGCACAGCGAAAGCGUUAAGUAAUCCACCUGGGGAGUACGCCGGCAACGGUG
This 367-nucleotide ribosomal RNA is filed under the name uncultured bacterium. RNAcentral describes it as "bacterial SSU rRNA". It matches the Rfam family "Bacterial small subunit ribosomal RNA", at positions 527 to 896 of the family's 1533-position model. The record is from RNAcentral.